This 194-nucleotide non-coding RNA is filed under the name Caedimonas varicaedens. Lineage: Bacteria; Pseudomonadati; Pseudomonadota; Alphaproteobacteria; Holosporales; Caedimonadaceae. The record is from RNAcentral.
AGUCUUCCCUGACGUUAAGGUGCUCUCGAAAGAGAGAGAAUAGGGAAUACGGAAGGGAAGCUUUUUCCUCAGCCGUAGCUGUACCCGCAACUGUAAACGCCAGGUCUCGCCAAAAUACCACGUGGAUUUCUCUACGGAAGGUGGUGAAGACUGAAAGCGUAAGCCAGGAGACCUGCCUUAGCAGCCACCUUGUU